UACGGAGGAUGCAAGCGUUAUCCGGAAUGAUUGGGCGUAAAGCGUCCGCAGGUGGCAAUGUAAGUCUGCUGUCAAAGCGUCUGGCUCAACCAGAUAAAGGCAGUGGAAACUACAUAGCUAGAGUAAGGUAGGGGUAGAGGGAAUUCCUGGUGUAGCGGUGAAAUGCGCAGAUAUCGGGAAGAACACCCGUGGCGAAGGCGGCUCUCUGGGACGGUACUGACGCUGAGACGCGAAAGCGUGGGGAGCGAACAGG
RNAcentral lists this ribosomal RNA (253 nucleotides) under uncultured bacterium. RNAcentral describes it as "partial 16S ribosomal RNA". It matches the Rfam family "Bacterial small subunit ribosomal RNA", at positions 524 to 776 of the family's 1533-position model. The record is from RNAcentral.